GUAGCAGAACUCCAUGUUCUAAUAGCCCCGGCAAAGUUGUUUUUAAUACUUUUUCUCUACGAAUUUUCAUUAAAAUUUAAUUCCAUUUUAACUUUGUCAAUUUUCCCCAAAGAUAAAUUAAGACACACAGAGAGAUUGUCAUUUCCUGUUUGAAGUCUCAUUCCUGUGUACAAUGUCAGUCUUUUUUAUUUAGGCCUAUGCCAUUCCAUCAGGGUAAAUAACUUUCUAACUAGUCAUUUAAGAGCAACUCCCGGGAAACUGUGAUGCAAUCCCACAUAUCAGCCAGACUUCAAAAGCUGCCAGAUUAUUGUGAAAGGAGAAACACUGUUUUCGAAGGCUGCUGAUAAUGCCUAUUAGCCAGAAGAAAGAGCCUGAAUCAUUCAAAGGUUUUCCAUCUAGUAAAGAAGUGUGGUAAAAAUCUUGCCCAGAUCUGCAUGUGCUAAGCAUCUACGUAAGUUGGAGCAUCAUAUUAAUGACACCCAGUGAAGAAACGAAAGAUCUAGGUAAAAAUGUGAACAGAUUGGGAGGCUGAGGCAGGAGAAUCACUUGAACCCAGGAGGCAGAAGUUGCAGUGAGCCAAGAUUGCACCAUUGGACUCCAGCCUGGGCAACAGACAAGACUCUAUCUCAAAAAAAAAAUGUGAACAGAUAUAUUGACAUAAAAUUCAUAAAACAUAUGGAUAUACUAAAAACUAGGAAGUCUGGUUGCUUCUGAGGAUAAGAGUUGAGGACCUGUUUCAAGAAUACUUUGCACAGCUUGUACUAUUGCAGUAUUUGAAUUUUUUCUUGUACAUGUAUAACUUUUUUAAAAAGAAUGAGAAAUGCUGUACAAGUGCAACUAUUUUUACUGUAAGUUUUUAUUUCCAUAAAACUAUAAUUAAGUGUGUGGUCAAUAGAUCCUGUUAUAUAGCUAUGAUAUCCCUUGAAUUUGUUUACCUGGUAACACUAGCUCACGUUUGUAAAUCCUUUGGAACUCCCAAAGCGAUUUUACAUACAUUACCUAAUUUGUAAGAUUACAAAACUAUUACAUUAGCUUUUCUGGUUUUCUUGUCUUAAUACGUGAUUAUCAUAUUAAACUGCAGUGUUUUUUUUUUUCCAUCAAGUCACACACACAAAACAGGAAACCAGCAGUUGUAAUUUCUUCAGCAAUUCUUAAUGUAAGUUUUUAAUAGUUUAGUACUUUUCUUUCAUAAGUAUUGGACCAAGCUGUAAUGGAAUUAUACGACUCAUGCUUUCAGAACAGAGCCUUCUGUUACUCGUGUUUUUAUCCUGAUGGCCAUAUGACCAUGUGAAGUUCCAUCAUGAUUCUGUUGGAUGUUACCUUUGUCUUAUCCACUGAACUCAAGCCAGGGUGUUGGAGAAUUCAAUAGCUGAGUCUGAGGGUAAAUUAAAAUACCAGUCAAAAUUAAAUGGACUGUGUGAAACAGGAGUGAGCUUACAGGUUAUUAUGAGAUUUGUCCUGCCCAGUUUAAUACAACCCCUUCUCUGCUGAAGGGUAAGUAGGAAGGCUUUUCAUACAAAUAGAAGACCAGGUCAAAAAAAAAUCCACUCCUUUUCCUUCUGCUUGGCUUACUGGACUUGUAGGCAGACCUAGUUUUCCUACUGUAUUAAUGGCUAUGGAGCUGAAUUUCUUUGCAAUAGAAGUUGUUAUUUGAGUUUAGCAACAUUGAUAAAAUUGGCUCAUCAAACCGUUUUAUAUUGAAAAGGGCUUCAUGGACAGUGACCUGCUGUGAGUUGGCUGACAGCUGAAAUGAUGAACAAUACUGUUUAGUUCUGCCCAUCGUGCCUGCCAGAGACUAAGAAUAACUUGACCAGUAAGGAGGGUGGAUCUUUGUUAGCUGUUCUGCAUUAUUUCUUCCAAUUUAGUAUUUAACCCCAAGAAAGAAUCAAUCGCAUGUGGGUGGCUAUUCAUUGUAAUAUUUAAAGGUAAAGUAGCACAGUGGUCAAGGGUGAAGGCUAGGAGUCAGACUUGAAUUCAAAUGCCAGCUCCACCCUUUACCACACAUGGGAACAUGGGCAAGUUACUUCACUUCUUUAACCAUCAGUUUCCUCAUUUCUAAGACAAAUCUUGUUGGAAUGACUUUUUUUCAAAAUGAAUUAAGUGUAUAGUAGAGGGCCUAUAGUUUUAUAUGGUUUAUAUAAUUACUAAAACUUUUUGUAUAUGAUUAUAAUAACUACAUACAAAAUGUCAUGGCAAAUGCAUAAAAACUGACUAUUGACUAUGCUAUCCCCCACUCCACUCCCCACCAUUCAUUCCUAAGCCCACUCCAGUCAGGCAAUCUGCCAUUCCACUGAUACUACACUUGACAAGGUCACCAAUGACAUUUACACUGCUAAAUGCAGUGGCCAGUUCUCAGUCUUCAUCAGAGUUGAGCACUCAGCAGCCUUUGGAAAAGUUAAUCUUGCAUUCCACUGCCUGCCCUUUUUUGUUUUCCUAAUCUCUAAACAUUGGAGGGCUCCAGGGCUCCAUCCUCUGGCCUCUUCUCUAUCCAUAACCCCUCCCCUGGUGACCUCAUCUAAUCUUGGAGAUUUACUAUCAUGUAGAUGCUACUGACUUCUCAAAUAUAUAUUUCCAGUUCACAUCUCUCCUGUGAGUUCCAGACUUGUUUAUCCAGAUGCCUGUUCAAUUUCUGCUUGAAUGUCUUAGGUAGUUUCUCAAACUUGGCAUGUGAAAAACUGAACACCUUGAUUUUCCUAAAAAUCUGUUUCUCUAUCAUUUAGCUGCUCAGCUAAAAACUUUGGAGUUAGACAUAUGGACAGCCCACCCCAAGGGAAGAAUCAGAGGAGAAGGGACACAAGACCCCAGAAACACACAAAGCACCUUAAUAUGCAUGCUGCAUCUCUCUAAAAUUGUGGAACCUGUUUACCUGCUCUGGAGAAUGGCUGCCUGUGGCAGACAUAGGAGUUGUCCUCAUGCUGUGCUUCCUAUCUUCCACAGUAAUUGACUUGUAGCUGCAAUACAGUUACCAACCAGGAAUACAAUUUCUCAGCCCCAUGUCUUGCACCUACAGCUAAGUGUGGCCAUGUGACCAGUUUUCACCAAUUAAGUGUGAAUAGCAACAAAGUGCACCACCUUCAAUUGGAGGCUUUGAAGAAGCAGGGCAGCCUUCCCUUGCUCUCUUUCCCCUUGUUCUGGUGGGAUACAGAUGACAAUAAGGCCCUGGGUUUUGAGGUAGCCACAAGAUGCAAAAUACCUCAGACCUGAGUCACCACAAGGAAGAGAGAAGCCCACUGACAUGGAAUACCCAGCCUAGUCUACAGAUGAAUAAGAAAUAAACUUCUAUUAUGUUCGAACAUUACAGAUUUUGUUCUGUUAUAGCAGUUUAUCUCACCCUGACUAAACUGUUGCCUAUCUUCCAAGAUAGGCCCUCCUUCCCUGAAAGUGACUUUUUCAUACAUGUAAUCUGUAUUUUAAUUCAUAUUCUCCAAAGCAUAUCCACAUCUAUUCAACUAUUUUCAUGUCUUCCAUCAAUAAAAACCUCAUAUAAAUAUAUACGAGGUUUUUUUUUUUUUUUUUAAGACACUUUGGAGUUAUCCUUGACCCUGUCCUCUUUUCUCAUACCCAUAUACGAACCAUUAAGAAAUCUUGUUGCCUCAACCUUCAAAAUCUAUCCAGGAUUUAACCACUAAUCAACCCCUUCUCCUCUGUCAGUCUGUCCUCCUAGAUUUCAUCUUGACCAUCCUUAGAAACUCCUAACCAGUCUUAUUGCUUUCGCCAUUGUACAUCCAGACUAUUCUCAAAUGGCAACCAAUGAGAUCGUGCUGCACUUCUGCUCAAAACCUGCAAAUGGCUUCCUACCUCACUUAGGGUAAAACCAAAUGGGGCCUGCACAAUCUGGCUUCACCUCCUAGUGCUUUCCUCCUUGCUCAUUCAGCCCAGCCACACUGCUCUUCUUGCUUUUCCAUGAACAUGCUAGACACACUCUCACGUUUGGGCUUUUGCACUUGUUUCCCUUCCCAGAAUGCUCUCCUCGUGGAUACGCACAUAUCCAGCCCCUUAUCUCCUUCAAAUUUUAGUUCAAAUGCCACUUUCUCAAUGAGGGUUUUCUAACCAGCCUAUUUAAACUUACAGUCUCCCAUUGUCUAAAGCCUUGUCUCCCUUCCUGCUUUACUUUUCUUCAUAGUAAUUACCACCAUCUGACUUAUAUUUGCUUGCCUUUCUUGUUGAUUUUCUGUUUUACCCACUCAAAUGUAGUCCAUAAGGGAAGGGAUUGUUGUUUCAUUUGUUCACUUCUCUAUCCCCUGGGCCUGAGCCUGGCUUUGGGUAGGCACUCAGUUAAUGUUUGUGUAAAUUAAUAAAUGAAUGAAUGACAUUUACUACCUUAUAUGGUACUAUAAUAUAAAAGCAUAUGAUGCAGAGAAUUAGGAAUCUAGAAACUAGUUUUGACUCAGCAUCCUAUGUACAAGGUUAUGUAGACAAGUCAUUUCACCUCUCUGAGCCUCAUUUUUCUAAUAUUUAAAAUCUACCCUCCAGAGCUGUAAAGUGUUCAAAUAUAGAUUAUCUUAUGGAGUGCAGUCUCAUGCUUGCACAAUGAAAGAAGUUAAUUUCUACAUACCUUCCAUGUACCCACAAUCAAUGGUUUAUGUAAACCUCACCUCAGGAAAAUUAAGUUCUGUAUGAGCAGAUUUUUUUUUAAAUUGCCACUGAAAUAAAUACCAAAUUAAGCCAAAUAAAUACCAAAACAGACUUUGCAUUUUUCAUCUUUAGCCAAGCUCCUCUGGUUUGCAUACUCAUAAUAUAAUUCAAAUGACCAUUUUUGGAGUUUUGAUUUUUAGUGCUCUUUUUCUCUGCUAGGAGAAAUGAAUAUCUGAUGCUUUGUUUUUCCAAAUUGUUGUAUGAAAACUGAGUAAUGCUAUAAAGCUUUUUAAAUAUUUUAGAGGUAUAGCAAGUGAACUAUUUUAUAAGUUUCUGGGAUUUUUGAAAAUAUUUUUUAUUUUUAAUUUUUACUGAGACAGGGUCUUGCUCUGUUGCCCAGGCUGGAGUGCAGUGGUGUGAUCUCAGCUCACUGCAGCCUCUGCUGCCCAGGUUCAAGCGAUUCUCAUGCCUCAGCCUCCCAAGUAGCUGGGACUACAGUCCUGUGCCACCAUGCCUGACUAAUUUUUUUUGUAUUUUUAGUAGAGAUACGGUUUCGCCAUGUUGGCCAGUCUGGUCUCGAACUCCUGACCUCAAGUGACCUGCCCACCUCAGCCUCCCAAAGGGCUGGGAUUACAGGCAUGAGCCACUGCACCCAGCCUGAACAUAUUUUUUAUGUUCAAUAUAAUGUUGACUACCUAGUAAAGUCAUAUUUGUUCAAAUUCCCCUGAUUUAUUUUCUAAUGAAUACCUCGAUAUUUCUCUUAUAUGCUGGUCACUUAUCAAAUGAUUCCCAGUGAACACUUUUGAUUGAUUAAUGUAUAACUUGAUCAGGUACUGAAUUUGCAUUUGCUUAGUAAGGCCCACCUUGAAAAAUAGUGCAAAUAAUUUAUUCAGGUCAGAUAGGGAGAAAGAAAUCAUAAAAAUACUAAACCAAACAAACUUUAGAAGUGGCUGUUAAUAGAUAAGAUUUUCAAGGCCCAUGAUAAAGGGAUUCUAGUUCUAGAUCUGCUUUCCAUAUUCUUCAAUUCCAAGGGACAUCUUCAGCGUAGCUCCUGACUGGCCUGGCUAACGCUUCGUGCAUCCUUUCUUGAGCUUUGAAGUUUGUCCUGUUUGCCCCUCAAUCCUCAUAAGGUCUCCUUGUGCAUGUGCCCCUCCCUGAGUUUGUGUGUGAGUUGCUGUCUCAUUCCUGGUCUAUGUUCCCUAUGUUUUUAUUUCCUAUCUUUUAGUAUGUAAGUAGGUAGAUAGACAGAUUGACUGAUGAUUGAUUGAUAGAAAUAGAUAUAUAAUUUAUUUUCCCAUGGGUAGAUCUUUAAGGUUUUCAGGCAUGGGAGUAAGAUAACCACCCUAUCCCUCUGUGUGGUGGAAUAGGGUAGAGUAUGGCUGUGGCCAGAGAGACAACAGAACAGUGUAAGAAAGUGUAAAAGUCUUGAACUAUAGCAUAGAUACGCAAGAAAUAAAUGAAAAUGCUGCUGUUUAAUGUGCUGUUUGCAAUUUUUAAAAGUCUAUCAGUGGGAGAAUUGAAUAGGUAAAUAAAGUUUUCAUUGUUAACUUUGUAACAAUAAGUUUCUGAUAAUCUGUAACACAACAAUAAAGUAAGAAAGCUCAAAAGUAUUCUCAAAUUUCCCCAUCAGGGAAUAAUUUCUUCCUGAAUAUCACUCACAGCUCCCUGGAAUAAUAAUACAGUAUAACCUUUUUAUUCAAUUGACACCUAUGAGCCAAUUUCUAUUGUUUCUCAACCAACCCUCCUACUCUUCACCAGUCUGUGUUGGGGCCAUAUCUAUGUAUUCACAUACAUAGUAUUCUUUUCUUACAUCUAUCCUAGAAUAUGUAUGUAUAACACCAUAAUACAAGUCAACUGUCUCUUAUCUGCAACCACAAAUCCAUAAAGCUCUGAAAACCAGAAGUUUGUUUUAUGAUUGGUACCAAAAUUUAUUUUGUGCAAAACCUGGCUUGAACAGACAUGAGGCUUGCUAGCUGAUAUGCCCCACUAGAUGGUGAGCUUUAUGGAGGCAGUCUUGAUUCCUCCUGUCUGCCUGGUAUCUAGUGAAUCUCAACAAAUAUCAAAUAUUUGGAAUAAGCAAAUGAAUAUUUUCUAUCAAUUUAAUAUAUUUGAAUUUAUUAGUCUUCCUCUGUUGUUCUUAUUUGUUUUUUGAGACGGAAUCUCACUCUGUCACCCAGGCUGAAGUGCAAUGGCAUGACCACAGCUCACCGCAGCCUCAAACUCCCAGGCUCCAACAAUCCUCCUGCCUCAGCCUCUUGAGUAGCUGAGACUACAGGCACACACCACUGCACUCAGCUAAUUUUUGUGUUUUUUUGUAGAGAUGGGGUUUCGCCAUGUUGGCCAGGCUGGUCUUGAACUUGGCUCAAGGGAACCACCCACCUCAGCCUCCCUAAGUGUUGGGAUUACAGACAUGAGCCACUGCGCCUGGCCUCUGUUCUUAUUUUUUAAAUGUUAAAACUUUGAGAAAACAAGAGUUAGGGCUAAUAAGUGCUUUUCAAAAAUUUAUUUUUAAACUGAAAAUAUAAACAUUUGGUCAGAUUGAAAAAUCAAUGAUGGAACCAAGAAUAAUAUAGUGUUUCCUGAGUUUUAGAUUAGUAUUUUCUUACCUAGAUAAGACUAGUAUUAUGAAUGCCAGAUAAUUCCAAGGCCAAGAAAAACAACUUUCUUUAAAAUCUAUUAAAAUGUUAUGAGUGAAAAUGAUGAAAAUAACGUUAUUUUACUCCUGUGCCUGAAAACACUUAAGGGGUCCCCACUGGGGAAAAAUAUGAAUCAAUAUCUACAUAUGUAUAUAUUUACUUAUACAUAUAUUAUACCACUAAAAAAUCAGAAAUAAGAAGGUAGGGCAGAUAGAUCAAGAAUGACAUAGCAACUUACAUACGAACUUAGGUAGGAGAACUUGUAAAUGUAUUUUGAAUAUUUGAUGCUUCUCCAGAUUCUUUCACCUUUUCUUUAUACAUGCUUUUAUGUGGGUUCACAUAUAUAAAAAUUAUGUAUAUUGUAUACAAGUUUGUAUUUUUUUCUACAUUUUGAGGAAAUUUUGAGGAAGCAAACUUCUGCUUUAUGAAACAUCCACUCAUGACAUCAAUAAUUGCCAAGUAGAAUCUUUUUCAUAAAACACUCAUGACCUAAAUUGAAAAACAUAAAAGUUUUAUUGAAGUUACAAAUGUCAGGACACAAGUACUGUUAUCAAAUAUUAGAAUUAUGAUAUACCAUAACAUCUAUUAUUCUGCCUUGCAUUAUCAUUCUAAAUUUUGUAAAUAUUUGUUGGGUCAUAAAGAAAUAAAUUUCUCUUUGAGCCAUCUAACUUACUUCCUUCUAAUAUCCAAUUUAUUGAAUAGGAUGCCAUUCUAUUUCCUCCGAUGAAUUUUCAUCUGAUGUCCAUUUGCAGUUCACCCUUAAACAACAUGGAUUUGAACCGCAUGGGUCUAUUUAUACGUGAAUUUUUUUUAGUAAAUAUAUUGAAAAAUUUUUUGGAGAUUUGCAACAACUUGAAAAAACUUGCAGACAAACUGCAUAGCAUAGAAAUACUUUCGAAAAUUUUUUUUUGGCCGAGCGCGGUGGCUCAGGCCUGUAAUCCCAGCACUUUGGGAGGUCGAGGCGGGCAGAUCACCUGAGCUCGGGAGUUUGAGACAAGCCUGGCCAACAUGGUGAAACCCCGUCUCUACUAAAAAUACAAAAAUUUACCGGGCAUGGUGGUGGGCGCCUGUAGUUCCACCUACUCGGGAGGCUGAGGCACGAGAAUCACUUGAACCCGGGAGGCGGAGGUUGCAGUGAGCCGAAAUAGCACCACUGCACUCCAGCCUGGGUGACACAGCCAGAUUCCGUCUCAAUAAAUAAAUAAAUAAAUAAAUAAAUAAAUAAAUAAAUAAAUUUUAAAGUUAGGGCCAGGCACGGUGCUUCACACUUACAAUCCCAGCACUUUGGGAGGCUGAAGCGGAAGGAUCAUUUGAGCCCAGGAGUUUGAGACCAGGAGUUUGAGACCAGGAGUUUGAGACCAACCUGAGCAACAUAGUGGUACCCCAUUGCUACAAAAAAAUAAAAAGUAAAAAGUUAGCAAGCUGUGGUGGCACUCCUGAAGUCCCAGCUCCUCAGGAGUGGGAGGAUCACUUGAGCCUGGAAGGUUGAGGCUGCAGUGAUCCUUGAUCGCAAACACUGUGCUCUAGCCUGGGUGACAGAAUGAGACCCUGUCUCAAAAAAAAAAAAAAAAGAAAAAAGAAAAAAAGAAAAGAAAAGAAAAAAAUAGGAAUAGAAAAAGUUGGGUAUGUCAUGAGUGCAUAAAUACAUAAAUAUGUGUAGCCACUAAUCUAUUUUAUCAUUUACUGCCAUGAAAUACUUGAGUCGGCCAAACCAACCCCUUCUCUUCCUCUUCCUCUUCAGCCUACUCAACAUGAAGACAAUGAGAAUUAAGACUUUAUUAUUAUCCACUUCCACUUAAUGAAUAGUAAAUAUAUUUUUUCUUAUGAUUUUCAUAAUAUUUUACUUUCUCUAGCUUACUUUAUUGUAAGAAUACAGUAUAUAAUACAUGCAAUAUACAAAAUAUGUGUUAAUUAACUGUUUAUGUCAUUGGUAAGGCUUCUGGUCAACAGUAGCCUACUAGUAGUUAAUUUUGGGCGGAUCUAAAAGUUAUACAUGGGUAAUUGACCAUGUAGAAGUCGGCACACCUAACACCCAUGUUAUUCAAAGGAUUCAUGGGUCAACUGUAUUUCACUAUUUUUAUCUAUUUGUAAAUUAUUAAUAAUUGCUUUAUGUAUAAAAACAACAGCUGUCUCAUCAUCAUUAUAAUGUCAAUUGUUCCAUCCUUAUACUAUUAAUAUGAUAAAUAUACAUUUAUACUUCAAAUGACAGAAAAGUAGGCAUUAAUCAGCAAAGCAGUUCAGGAAAAUUAAUCUGGCAGGACUGAAUAAAAUGGGCUUGAAGAAAGUAGGCUUAAAGCAGAAAUAUAUUGGCUAGGACUCCAUUGCCAUUAUCUAAACAAGAAUUAAUGAGUUUCCUAACUGGGAAUGAAAUAGAAGAAAUGGAAAGAAGGGACAGUUUUAAAAUGUAAUGAAGGGAAAAUUGAUGCAAUUGGAUAACUGGUUGAAUAUAAGAAGCAAGACAGACUAUCAUAAUUGUUAGAUAUUUCAGAUAAUGUGGGCAUGAAAGAAAGAGAUGCCAAGAUGGUAGUAGGUAGUAGAGAGAAGGCCAAGGAAAUACUUGUAUUUCCUGAAGUUGGGAAAUACUUAUACUUGAAGAGUGUAGAAAGGAAGGAAUCAGCAGAGAGAGCUAAGGAGAAGCAAAAGAACAAUUUCACAAAAACAUGGAUUUAAAGAAGUAGUGGGCAGCAAUAUUCAGUGCCGCAGAAAAGGCUCUAGAUUUUAUGAGUAGGAAGUCUCGUGACCUUUAAGAGCACAGGGUUCCAUAGAAGGGUGAGGACAGAAACGAAAUUUGAAAGGAUUAAGGAAUGAGUGAAGUAUAAGAAAAUGUGACAGUAUUUUUUCAAAAUGAAUAAUCAAGCAAUGAAACAUGGAGGAACCUCAAAUGCAUGCCACUAAGUAAAAGAAGCCAGUGUGAAAAGGCUGCAUGACUGUAUGAUUCGAGCUACAUGGCAUUCUGGAAAGGGCAAGCCAUGGAGACAAUGAAAAGAUCAACGGCUGCCAGGGAUUGCAGGGAGGAAAGGAUAAACAGGCAGAGCACAUCAAAUUUUUAGGGCAGGGAAACUAGUCUGUAUUAUACUAUAAUGGUGGGUACAUGUCAUUAUGCAUUUGUCAAAACCUGUAAAAUGUACACCAAAAGUCAACUCUAAUGUACAUUAUGGACUGAGUGAUUAUGAUGUGUCAGUGUAGUUCAUUGGUUGGAACAAAUGUACUCUGGUGGGAGACGUUAAUAGUAGAUGUUGGCCGGGCAUGGUGGCUCACGCCUGUAAUCCCAGAAUUUUGGGAGGCCGAGGAGGGUGGAUCACGAGGUCAGGAGUUCAAGAGCAGCCUGGCCAAGAUGGUGAAACCCUGUCUCUACUAAAAAUACAAAAAUUAGCCCAGCAUGGUAGCAGGCGCCUGUAAUCCCAGCUACUUGGGAGGCUGAGGCAGAGAAUCACUUGAACCCGGGAGGCAGAGGUUGAGUGAGCCGAGAUCACGCCAUUGCACUCCAGCCUGGCAAUAGAGUGAGACUCCAUCUCUAAAUAAAUAAAUAAAUAAAUAAAUAAAUAAAUAAAUAAAUAAAUAAAAUGAAGUCAAUUUUAAAAGAAUGUAUAACCAUUUUUAUUAAUAUAAACUUCUGUGUUACAUACAUGUAUUACUUUUAUUGUAUCAUUUUAUAGCCCUUAAAAAUUUCAACAAAAUGUAAAAAUGUAUUUUUGUGACCAAUGAAAUAAGUGGAGUAAAGUGAUAUUGUUCAGCUAAAUAUAUGAUAGAUAUAAGAAUUUAGUUACAUUUCUGGAAUGACAGAGUGGUGAUGAAUUUUAUAGCAUUAUGACGUAAGUAAGAAAUGUUAGGUCUGUCUUCGGAUGUCUAUUGUAUGUUCCAGUUAUUUAUUGCUGUGUGUAACACACCACACCAAAACUUAGUAGCUUAAAACAGUCAUUUAUUGUUAUGUUCCAUUUUUCUGGGGGUUGACGAAGCUGAGCGUUACUCACUUUUGUGUCCUUCAAAUGGUUGCAGAAAUAUGACAGAUGAGGCUGGAAUUCUGAAAGCUUCUUUACUCACAUGCCUGGCUCCUAGACUAGAAUAGCUAGAAUACCUGUGGGCUGGUCAGGAUUUCUCCCUCUUUUGUCUCUCCACAUAGCCAUAGUGUGGCUUGGGUUUCAAACAGCGUGGCAUUUCAAGACCAGGAAUUCCAGGAGACCCAGGUAGAAGCUUCAAAGUGUGGGAAGUGUUGGAAGUCAUACAGCGUCACUUCCACUAUAUUCUAUUUGGCAAAUCUGUCACAAAUGAGCCCAGAUUCAAGGGAGUAGAGCAAUAGAUAGAUACAGGGAGGAGAGAAAUUGAUGGUAGCCAACUGAAAACAAGAAACAAGCUACCACAAUCUAUUUAGGGGAUAUUUAUAAAAACAUAGAGACACACAUGCACAAACAACACACACGUACACACAUACAUGCAGAUAAAUACAUUUUUAUGAAAAAAUUAAGAAUUAUUAUGAAUGUUCAAGUAUACAAUAAUAUGCAAAGGGAAAACCUUAAUAAUUAAAGUAGGAAAUGAGACUAACUCUGAGAAGAGUAAUCAAAGACAUUGUAUUUUUUUUUCAG
RNAcentral lists this long non-coding RNA (11791 nucleotides) under Homo sapiens (human). Its description in RNAcentral is "non-protein coding lnc-S1PR1-2:6". Lineage: Eukaryota; Metazoa; Chordata; Mammalia; Primates; Hominidae. The record is from RNAcentral.